GAGGAAUAUUGCGCAAUGGGGGGAACCCUGACGCAGCGACGCCGCGUGAGUGAGGAAGGCCUUCGGGUCGUAAAGCUCUGUCAAGAGGGAAGAAGUGCAUAGUGGUUAAUACCCAUUUUGUUUGACGGUACCUCUAAAGGAAGCACCGGCUAACUCCGUGCCAGCAGCCGCGGUAAUACGGAGGGUGCGAGCGUUGUUCGGAAUCACUGGGCGUAAAGGGCGCGCAGGCGGUUUGGCAAGUCAGAUGUGAAAUCCCACGGCUUAACUGUGGAAGUGCAUUUGAAACUGCCAGGCUUGAGUACCAGAGGGGAAAGUGGAAUUCCCGGUGUAGAGGUGAAAUUCGUAGAUAUCGGGAGGAAUACCGGUGGCGAAGGCGACUUUCUGGCUGGAUACUGACGCUGAGGCGCGAAAGCGUGGGGAGCAAAC
RNAcentral lists this ribosomal RNA (426 nucleotides) under uncultured bacterium. RNAcentral describes it as "bacterial SSU rRNA". It matches the Rfam family "Bacterial small subunit ribosomal RNA", at positions 356 to 773 of the family's 1533-position model. The record is from RNAcentral.